Molecule: ribosomal RNA, 247 nt
Filed under: uncultured bacterium
Lineage: Bacteria
Description: partial 16S ribosomal RNA
Rfam family: Bacterial small subunit ribosomal RNA
Source: RNAcentral
CACGCCCUAAACGAUGCGAACUGGAUGUUGGGUGCAAUUUGGCACGCAGUAUCGAAGCUAACGCGUUAAGUUCGCCGCCUGGGGAGUACGGUCGCAAGACUGAAACUCAAAGGAAUUGACGGGGGCCCGCACAAGCGGUGGAGUAUGUGGUUUAAUUCGAUGCAACGCGAAGAACCUUACCUGGCCUUGACAUGUCGCGAACUUUCCAGAGAUGGAUUGGUGCCUUCGGGAACGCGAACACAGGUGC